AUUCUGGCUCAGGAUGAACGCUAGCUACAGGCUUAACACAUGCAAGUCGAGGGGUAACAGGAGAGAAGCUUGCUUUCUGCUGACGACCGGCGCACGGGUGAGUAACGCGUAUCCAACCUUCCCCUAGUAGCGGAUAGCCCGGCGAAAGUCGGAUUAAUACGCUAUGUUCUCGUUGAUGGCAUCUGAUGUGAAGCAAAGAUUUAUCGCUAAGGGAUGGGGAUGCGUCUGAUUAGGUAGUCGGCGGGGUAACGGCCCACCGAGCCAUCGAUCAGUAGGGGUUCUGAGAGGAAGGUCCCCCACACUGGUACUGAGACACGGACCAGACUCCUACGGGAGGCAGCAGUGAGGAAUAUUGGUCAAUGGGCGCGAGCCUGAACCAGCCAAGUAGCGUGCAGGAAUGACUGCCCUAUGGGUUGUAAACUGCUUUUAUCAGGGAAUAAAGUCGAGGCCACGUGUGCCUUUUUGUAUGUACCUGAUGAAUAAGGACCGGCUAAUUCCGUGCCAGCCGCAGC
This 512-nucleotide ribosomal RNA is filed under the name uncultured bacterium. RNAcentral describes it as "bacterial SSU rRNA". It matches the Rfam family "Bacterial small subunit ribosomal RNA", at positions 16 to 518 of the family's 1533-position model. The record is from RNAcentral.